RNAcentral lists this transfer RNA (61 nucleotides) under Doliolum nationalis. Its description in RNAcentral is "tRNA-Phe". Lineage: Eukaryota; Metazoa; Chordata; Thaliacea; Doliolida; Doliolidae. The record is from RNAcentral.
GUGGAGAUAGUUUAAAUAGAACAAAUUCUUGAAAAGAAUUAGGUACCUUUGGUUCUUCACA